UACAGAGGUCUCGAGCGUUGUUCGGAUUCAUUGGGCGUAAAGGGUGCGUAGGUGGCGAGGCAAGUCGGAUGUGAAAUCCCGGAGCUCAACUCCGGAACUGCAUUCGAUACUGCUUUGCUCGAGUACUGGAGAGGAGAUUGGAAUUUACGGUGUAGCAGUGAAAUGCGUAGAUAUCGUAAGGAAGACCAGUGGCGAAGGCGAAUCUCUGGACAGUUACUGACACUGAGGCACGAAGGCCAGGGGAGCAAACGGG
RNAcentral lists this ribosomal RNA (253 nucleotides) under uncultured bacterium. Its description in RNAcentral is "partial 16S ribosomal RNA". It matches the Rfam family "Bacterial small subunit ribosomal RNA", at positions 524 to 776 of the family's 1533-position model. The record is from RNAcentral.